This 697-nucleotide transfer RNA is filed under the name Stenomitos frigidus KOVACIK-ANT 2003/73. Its description in RNAcentral is "Leptolyngbya frigida KOVACIK-ANT 2003/73 partial 16S-23S ribosomal RNA intergenic spacer". The stretch from base 218 to 290 matches the Rfam family "tRNA". Lineage: Bacteria; Bacillati; Cyanobacteriota; Cyanophyceae; Leptolyngbyales; Leptolyngbyaceae. The record is from RNAcentral.
UUUUAGGGAGACCUACCCACUCAAAGUUGAAAGUGAGUUAGAAAUAACGAACCGGUAAGCUAAGAGUUGGCCAUCCCAAAGGUCGUUCGGAUAUAUGUGUUGGCUUCCAAAUUAUUUGGUUCGGUUCAUGGGCUAUUAGCUCAGGUGGUUAGAGCGCACCCCUGAUAAGGGUGAGGUCCCUGGUUCGAGUCCAGGAUGGCCCACCUUUACAUUACAAGGGGGUUUAGCUCAGUUGGUAGAGCGCCUGCUUUGCAAGCAGGAUGUCAACGGUUCGAGUCCGUUAACCUCCACUGAGAUAGGUGAGAAUGAACCGAGAGAAGUUGGGGAAACUUCAGCAAAUAGUUUUGUAUUACCUACAAGAGUAUCUGCUGGAUUUAGAUUCAGCGAAGAACCUUGAAAACUGCAUAGAGAAGAAUGUCAGGUAGAAACGAUUGUUUCGAUGGCGAAGCGAGAUGUGAAAGAGUAAUCUAGAGCAUUGAGAGGAGCUAUUGAGAUAAUUUUUACAGACACCCAAUGUAAGUUUGCGAAAAACAGUUAGAACCUUGAAAACUGCAUAGUAACUUGUCAGGUAGUAAGACAACGACGACUAACGAAAGUUUAAUAGCCUGUCGUUAGAAACGAAUUGUCACUAUCACAGACACCAAUGUAAGCGAGACUCUAGAUAAUUAGCGAGAGCUAAGGACUAGAAGUUAAAAGU